GAUGAACGCUGGCGGCGUGCCUAAUACGUGCAAGUCGAGCGAACAGAUAAGGAGCUUGCUCCUUUGACGUUAGCGGCGGACGGGUGAGUAACACGUGGAUAACCUACCUAUAAGACUGGGAUAACUUCGGGAAACCGGAGCUAAUACCGGAUAACAUAUUGAACCGCAUGGUUCAAUAGUGAAAGGCGGCUUUGCUGUCACUUAUAGAUGGAUCCGCGCCGUAUUAGCUAGUUGGUAAGGUAACGGCUUACCAAGGCAACGAUACGUAGCCGACCUGAGAGAGUGAUCGGCCACACUGGAACUGAGACACGGUCCAGACUCCUACGGAAGGCAGCAGUGGGGAAUCUUCCGCGAUGGGAGAAAGCCUGACGGAGCAAAGCCGCGUGAAUGAUGAAGGUCUUCGGAUCGUAAAACACUGUUAUCAGGGAAGAACAAAUGUGUAGGUAACUGUGCACAGCUUGACGGUACCUGAUCAGAAAGCCACGGCUAACUAAGAG
RNAcentral lists this ribosomal RNA (497 nucleotides) under uncultured bacterium. RNAcentral describes it as "partial 16S ribosomal RNA". It matches the Rfam family "Bacterial small subunit ribosomal RNA", at positions 28 to 507 of the family's 1533-position model. The record is from RNAcentral.